This is a long non-coding RNA of Callorhinus ursinus (northern fur seal), 1380 nucleotides long. RefSeq lists it as uncharacterized. The record is from RefSeq and is a predicted model, not a curated record. NCBI's taxonomy places the organism in Eukaryota, Metazoa, Chordata, Mammalia, Carnivora, Otariidae.
CUAGCCGCCCGGGCACCCCUCAAUACCCUUUUCAACACUAGUUACAGAUUUUCCGCACCACUGGUGGCUUAUUUCAUCCUCACACAGACAAAUGCGUACAAGACAAGCCAUUGUCCCCACAGCAUUUUCUUAUUAUCUUGCUGAAAUGUGGUGAAAUGCAUUACAGUUUCAGGUGACUUCAGGAAUGUGGAGAAAUACUUUGCCCAUUCCCUGAGAAAAAGCUUCGUUAUUUUCUUCAUAUGAAUUCUGCUCCCAGUGAUUGACUCUUGUAUUAGCGUUUUGAGACCAAAAACUUUUCAGCAGACUGUUUUUCUAGGGUAAAGCUUUACUUAUCACAGUCUGCGUUUUCUUCACUCGGGCCCCAUUGCCACUGGUUAGAAGGAAUAGGUGAUUUUGAAAGUUUCUAAUCAACAAUGGCUACUUGCCUCAAUUUGGCUAAGGCAUCCUCCUCUGACCAAAGGAAGAAUCUUCAAAUCACUGAUGGCUGGCAGCCCCAAAGGGUGCAUAGAUGAAGAUCCAAGAUCAACUUAGGAUCAGAGACCAACUCCACUUUGGACUGGUGCAACAAAUCCCCAGGACAAAAUGGCAAAACCGAAAGCGAAGUUUCGUCCUAUGUUUAGUCCCAAUUAUGAGACACAAAUCUUGACAUACUCCUGCCUGUGCUUGUGACAUUUGACAGGCCUGGAAGUUAUCGUAAAGCAAAAAUGAGACCGGAAUUCUUCAUACAUAAAGCAUUCACUGAUACAGAGGAAAAACCAUUGGACAAGCAAGAACAUCACCAUUCACACACUGUCUCCGUGUCUUCCCAGCUGCACUCCUGGCAGUCCCAGGCAUCAGAUCCUGAGAAGAAGCUCUUCCCUUUCAGCAUUUUCACUCAAGUUUAGACUUCCCCUUGAGUGCCAUUUUUCUGCAUUGGGGUGGGCUCCGACUUGGCGACGUAGCCUGCACUCUCUCCCAUGAACUGGUAUUUUUGGUCCUGAGCCACAAUGGCGGCUGCCACUUGCUGUGGAAUUUCUUAGGGCUGUGAACCCAGCUUCCCAGGGAAUGUUCAUCCCCAGAACUGUUUCAGCUGGAGAACCACUUUCAGCAAGUUCCUGAAAUAAAGGGGCUUUUGAUGAAGUGUGCCUCUAGAGGCCUCAUGGGACAAAGCCCUGUGUCAUUUCUACUCAAAAGAGACCGUGCAUCCUAGGAUUUGAGAUGUUACAGGCUCUGUAUAUCAAAGUGGGGAAUGAUUCUUAAAGGUUGUUUAUAAACCAUGUAUAUCCAUGGCUUAGCCCCUCCAUAAGUUCCUCCCUUGGCUCUGAAUUCAAUUCAAAACAGCAUAAAGAGGGGCGCCUGGGUGGCUCAGUCGGUUAAGCGGCUGCCUUCAGCUCAGGUCAU